This 78-nucleotide transfer RNA is filed under the name Vulcanisaeta moutnovskia 768-28. RNAcentral's name for it is "tRNA-Arg (TCT) (tRNA-Arg-TCT-1-1)". It matches the Rfam family "tRNA". From Rfam's summary of the family: Transfer RNA (tRNA) molecules are approximately 80 nucleotides in length. Their secondary structure includes four short double-helical elements and three loops (D, anti-codon, and T loops). RNAcentral also lists the same sequence under 2 other names. Lineage: Archaea; Thermoproteati; Thermoproteota; Thermoprotei; Thermoproteales; Thermoproteaceae. The record is from RNAcentral.
GGCCCCGUAGCUCAGCAUGGAUAGAGCGGCGGCCUUCUAAGCCGUAGGUCGUGGGUUCAAAUCCCACCGGGGCCGCCA